This 90-nucleotide transfer RNA is filed under the name Bacillota bacterium. RNAcentral's name for it is "tRNA-Ser". It matches the Rfam family "tRNA". From Rfam's summary of the family: Transfer RNA (tRNA) molecules are approximately 80 nucleotides in length. The record is from RNAcentral. Lineage: Bacteria; Bacillati; Bacillota.
GGAGAGAUGGCCGAGUGGUUGAUGGCGGCGGUCUUGAAAACCGUUAUGGGUGCAAGCCCAUCGGGGGUUCGAAUCCCUCUCUCUCCGCCA